This 253-nucleotide ribosomal RNA is filed under the name uncultured bacterium. Its description in RNAcentral is "partial 16S ribosomal RNA". It matches the Rfam family "Bacterial small subunit ribosomal RNA", at positions 524 to 776 of the family's 1533-position model. The record is from RNAcentral.
GACAGAGGUCCCGAGCGUUAGGCGGAAUCACUGGGCUUAAAGCGUGUGUAGGCGGAUGCCUAAGUACCUUGUGAAAUCCCACGGCUCACCCGUGGAACUGCUUGGUAUACUGGGUGUCUUGAGCCACUUAGGGGCUACCGGAACAAAUGGUGGAGCGGUGAAAUGCGUAGAUAUCAUCUGGAAUACCGGAGGCGAAGGCGGCUCACUGGGGGUUUUCUGACGCUGAGGAACGAAAGCCAGGGUAGCGAACGGG